RNAcentral lists this ribosomal RNA (495 nucleotides) under uncultured bacterium. RNAcentral describes it as "partial 16S ribosomal RNA". It matches the Rfam family "Bacterial small subunit ribosomal RNA", at positions 28 to 507 of the family's 1533-position model. The record is from RNAcentral.
GACGAACGCUGGCGGCGUGCCUAAUACAUGCAAGUAGAACGCUGAAGGAGGAGCUUGCUUCUCUGGACGAGUUGCGAACGGGUGAGUAACGCGUAGGUAACCUGCCUGGUAGCGGGGGAUAACUAUUGGAAACGAUAGCUAAUACCGCAUAAUAGCAGUUGUUGCAUGACAACUGUUUGAAAGGUGCAAUUGCACCACUACCAGAUGGACCUGCGUUGUAUUAGCUAGUUGGUGGGGUAACGGCUCACCAAGGCGACGAUACAUAGCCGACCUGAGAGGGUGAUCGGCCACACUGGGACUGAGACACGGCCCAGACUCCUACGGGAGGCAGCAGUAGGGAAUCUUCGGCAAUGGACGGAAGUCUGACCGAGCAACGCCGCGUGAGUGAAGAAGGUUUUCGGAUCGUAAAGCUCUGUUGUAAGAGAAGAACGAGUGUGAGAGUGGAAAGUUCACACUGUGACGGUAUCUUACCAAAAAGGGACGGCUAACUACGUG